This 272-nucleotide long non-coding RNA is filed under the name Setaria viridis. RNAcentral's name for it is "long non-coding RNA (SVIR_LNC008238)". The record is from RNAcentral. Lineage: Eukaryota; Viridiplantae; Streptophyta; Magnoliopsida; Poales; Poaceae.
UUUUUGGGAAGCGUUCCGUGCGACUGCUCAAGUUUGUCAUCAUGGCUCGUCCUCCGUCCAAGUUAGGCACUGCAGCGUACCGUCGUCUUCAACGCCAACUGCUACGAUCCGUCCGCAACACCGUCAUCAUCCCGUCAGCAUCGCUCGUCGUCAUGGCUUCUUGGUAUGUGCGUCGUGAUCUGAAUUGGUUGUUAAUCAUAUUUUCUGAGAUCAUGAUUAUAUUGUUCCUGUUGCCUAGUAUGUUAGAGUUUUGCAUGCUAGGAUUGUCUCUG